GCCUGGAUGGCUCAGUCAGUUAAGCGUUUGACUUCGGCUCAGGUCACCAGCUCACAGUUCGUGGGUUCAAGCCCCGCAUCAGGCU
RNAcentral lists this transfer RNA (85 nucleotides) under Felis catus (domestic cat). It matches the Rfam family "tRNA". From Rfam's summary of the family: Transfer RNA (tRNA) molecules are approximately 80 nucleotides in length. RNAcentral also lists the same sequence under 2 other names. Lineage: Eukaryota; Metazoa; Chordata; Mammalia; Carnivora; Felidae. The record is from Rfam by way of RNAcentral.